UGUCCGAAGUUGCGCGCUCGGUGCAGUC
Molecule: small RNA, 28 nt
Filed under: Bombyx mori (domestic silkworm)
Lineage: Eukaryota; Metazoa; Arthropoda; Insecta; Lepidoptera; Bombycidae
Description: ovarian small RNA-35684
Source: RNAcentral